RNAcentral lists this ribosomal RNA (253 nucleotides) under uncultured bacterium. RNAcentral describes it as "partial 16S ribosomal RNA". It matches the Rfam family "Bacterial small subunit ribosomal RNA", at positions 524 to 776 of the family's 1533-position model. The record is from RNAcentral.
UACGUAGGGUGCAAGCGUUGUCCGGAAUUAUUGGGCGUAAAGAGCUCGUAGGCGGUCUGUUGCGUCGGCUGUGAAAACCCGGGGCUCAACCCCGGGCCUGCAGUCGAUACGGGCAGGCUAGAAUUCGGUAGGGGAGACUGGAAUUCCUGGUGUAGCGGUGAAAUGCGCAGAUAUCAGGAGGAACACCGGUGGCGAAGGCGGGUCUCUGGGCCGAUAUUGACGCUGAGGAGCGAAAGCGUGGGGAGCGAACAGG